Molecule: non-coding RNA, 110 nt
Organism: Glycine soja
Lineage: Eukaryota; Viridiplantae; Streptophyta; Magnoliopsida; Fabales; Fabaceae
Source: Rfam
CUUUUAAUAGACGUUGAUCGUCAUGUGUUGCACAUUUAUUGGACGUUAAUUUCAUGCACCUAAUUAACAUUAACCUCCAAUAAAAUCGCAAUACGUGGCCGUCAACUUCC